RNAcentral lists this long non-coding RNA (998 nucleotides) under Sinocyclocheilus grahami. RNAcentral describes it as "lncRNA (ENSSGRG00000009198.1)". Lineage: Eukaryota; Metazoa; Chordata; Actinopteri; Cypriniformes; Cyprinidae. The record is from RNAcentral.
GCACGCUUUACGUGUCUGUCAAUGUGGCUGUGAUGUUCUCAGGAUGUGUGCAAUCCACAUCAAAAUAUUAGUUAGAAAAAAGAAAUAUUAAUUAUGGGAGAUGAGCACCCACCCCAGGUUAACAACACUAGCAGCUCCCGCCGUUCUUUCUUCAACGCAGCGCCCGACGAUUAUCGAUGUGAUGUGAUUCUUAAAGUGAAAAGAGCCACAGGGACAUUUUCAUUAGUGGCAUGCUUUUUCAUGCUGUUUGUGAUAUGGCUGUUCCGCCGAUAUAACUCUUUGGCUCAGAAAAUGAUAUUUAGUCUGACAGUAGCUGCAUUUUUUGACAGUGUUGCUUAUGUUAUGGUGAGUUGCACUGAUUCAUUUAUGUGUGUGUAAGAGAGAGAGAGACAUCCAAGCUAAUGUAUGUUGGAGAAAGGGAAAUGUUUUCUACCUUUUUAAUAACUAUUUCAUCACACCUUUUGCUUUCUUCUCAUAUGCAGGGAGAGUCUCAUCCAGAGGGGAAUCUGUGUAAUUUUCAAGCCUGGUGGCUCACAUAUUUUGACUGGACUGCGCUGAUGUGGGUUUGUCUUAUUACUUUUAAUCUGUACCUGAACCUGGUGAGAGAAAUUAGAACUGAACAUUAUUAGAUGUGAGUCACUAGACACACACAUGGAUAAACACGUUUAGUUGUGUAUACAUACAGACAGAGUGCUCCUAACAUCUGGAUGUGUUUCUCAGACUAUACCAUGUGGUGGCAUGGGGGGUUCCUCUGCUCAUGUCCACCCUCCCCCUGAUGGCUGGAUACUACGGUCCUGCUGGAGCCUGGUGGUGAAUGACUUUUGAUAUAUUCUUAGUUGCAAUCCUAUCAUUAACGGUGAUCAUCAGUCCUUUCUGUCUCAUUCUUUUCCUGCAGUUGGAUCACAGAUAAUCAUGUUGGGUGGAGGUUUGGCAUGUAAGUUUGUAAUGUUCAGCAUGCGUGUGAGUGUUUGCAGAAAUGCAUGCUGUGUUUAGGAAUG